Long non-coding RNA from Orcinus orca (killer whale), 1039 nucleotides. RefSeq lists it as uncharacterized. NCBI's taxonomy places the organism in Eukaryota, Metazoa, Chordata, Mammalia, Artiodactyla, Delphinidae. The record is from RefSeq and is a predicted model, not a curated record. The transcript has 8 exons.
GUGAGAUAUGGUUGAAAACUGAUACAUGAGGAAGUAGAAACACCAUCUUCAACAGCAAAUUUACUCCUGUGUGAGUCAUUGACUUGUGAUUAUCAUAAACAAGGUGGCCCCAUGCCAAGAACUCCAUCAAUCUUGACCACAUGAGUUUCUGAAAAGCAUUGGACUUACUUUCAAGGUCUCCAGAGUACCUGUGGGAAAUGGUCAAAGCAGAUAUUAUUGUCCUUAUACGUGAGAAAGAAAGGAAGUGAGUCCUACAAGCCUCACAGCAUAUUAAGGGAUUUCAACCCGGGAUCCUGAUUCUGUGAGGAAUGUUUUCCUCACAGGAGAAGGUGUUGUCUCCUGAGCCUCCGUAGGAAACUGCAGAGCGUCCCAGACAUCCAGGAUACUUACAGAUUUACUUGAGGUCCAUCAGUGAGGCUCACCACUUAGAAGAGAAGCCAGUCUUUAAAAUAAGCACAUUAUUAUUGACAGUAAAAAGAUCAAAAACAAAACAGAGUGUCACCUGUGAGUGGAGUAGCCUCCGGGCAUGAGCCCUCUGGACAGCUGUUCUUCUCUCAAUCAGCAAAGAUGCUCGUGGUGUGUCAGGCCCGUGAGAGCUCGCUGGCAAAACAGAGGUAGUACUGGGUGAUGAACAUUUAUUUCUGGUUUGAGCUAUUACAAAUAAUACUGCUAUGAGCAUUCACAUCUCUUCGUGGGCAUCACUCCAAGUCAACUGGUAGUGUUUUAACUUAUUAUUUUCAGUGUCUGCAGAAUAUUCCACGAUUUAAUUCUAUGAUGAACGAGAAACCUUCAUAUUCUCCCCAGUGUUGUUAUAUUUACUCACACCCAAAUAAUAGUUAUAAAAUGGUUGGCAAAGAAGAAAGCUGGAACUUUUACAGUUACAUAAGAAGGCUGACAUCCCUAAGUCACCGAAUCGGGGAGUCCAGAAGAGAAAACAUUGGGAGGAUUGGAAUUUCAGAGCAGGAGGAGGACCUGAGAGGACAGAGAGGAAGGACACCAGCCGGCUACUAUGUAGCGUGGGGAAGCUUCUGAGGAAGGU